AAAAAAAAACCCCAAAAAAACCAAAGUGAAAUUUACUCAUAGGACAGCCCAGACUGGAAGGGAUCUCAAAAUAUUGCCUGGUCCAACAUUUUAUCGGAAAUACAGCCUGGAUGAGAUUACCUGUCACUCUGUCCAGCCACAUCUUGAAAACCUCCAGUGAUGGAGACUCCACCACAUCCCUGGGCAAGAUUGUUUCAGUGAAUGAAUAUUCUCACCAUUAAAAUCUUCUGUCCUAUGAAACAUCAAAAAGAGAUCCUAUACUCAGGAAGUAAAUACAAUCAGUACUUUUCUGUUGAAUUUCAAAACAUAGCCCCUUUGCAGUAUGUUGUAGAUCCACAAGAGUAGAGACAAAUUGUUUUUAACUCCAGUGCAAAGCAUAGUGCCAGGGGCAAAGCCUUCAAGUUUCCACAGAAGCAGUAGUAGAAGAGCUGGGUGAAGACUGGCAUGCUGCACCUUCUACAGCCUGAGGGAAGCAGAGAACUUGGGAGGAGAACGAGAGCCAGGCUUCAAAAUGCAUUAAAGGUACUGCAAAGUUGCAAGUUACUCCAGAGCAGCAAACUUCACAGUAUUUAAUUCAACAAACUAGACUGGUAAACAAGAGUAAAAUGCUCUCUUCCUAUAUGUAAGGUGCUUCUUUCUUCAAUUCUCAGAAAGCUUAAGCUGCCCAUGUCAAAGAUAUCCUCACUGGAAGAUGUGUUCCAGCUCUUCCACAGUGAUAAAUUGGGAAUAGGUGAUGUUAUUUUCCUAUUUCAGUUCCUGAAGGAUACUAACAUUUCUGUUCAAGUCCUAGUGUUAUGGAUAUCUACUCUGUGACC
This is a long non-coding RNA of Passer domesticus (house sparrow), 815 nucleotides long. RefSeq lists it as uncharacterized. The record is from RefSeq and is a predicted model, not a curated record. NCBI's taxonomy places the organism in Eukaryota, Metazoa, Chordata, Aves, Passeriformes, Passeridae. The transcript is spliced from 3 exons.